AGAGCCUUAUAUUCUAUUGCGAGUUAUAUGAGUGUCUGAAAUUCAGACACACUAUACGGGUGUCCGAAUUUCGGACACUCUUACUAUAUUAUAUUGCGCGCGAGUUAUAUGGGUGUCUGAAUUUCAGACAGCCAUAUAACUCGCAAUAGAAUAUAAGAGUGU
Non-coding RNA from Paramuricea clavata, 162 nucleotides. NCBI's taxonomy places the organism in Eukaryota, Metazoa, Cnidaria, Anthozoa, Malacalcyonacea, Plexauridae. The record is from the annotation of a GenBank genome assembly.